RNAcentral lists this ribosomal RNA (253 nucleotides) under uncultured bacterium. Its description in RNAcentral is "partial 16S ribosomal RNA". It matches the Rfam family "Bacterial small subunit ribosomal RNA", at positions 524 to 776 of the family's 1533-position model. The record is from RNAcentral.
UACGGGGGGGGCAAGCGUUGUUCGGAAUUACUGGGCGUAAAGGGCGCGUAGGUGGCCUUCUAAGUCAGACGUGAAAUCCCCCGGCUUAACCUGGGAACUGCGUCUGAUACUGGGAGGCUUGAGUAUGGGAGAGGGAUGUAGAAUUCCAGGUGUAGCGGUGAAAUGCGUAGAUAUCUGGAGGAAUACCGGUGGCGAAGGCGGCAUCCUGGACCAUUACUGACGCUGAGGCGCGAAAGCUAGGGGAGCAAACGGG